RNAcentral lists this RNase P RNA (427 nucleotides) under Aromatoleum toluvorans. Its description in RNAcentral is "RNase P RNA component class A". It matches the Rfam family "Bacterial RNase P class A". Rfam says of the family: Ribonuclease P (RNase P) is a ubiquitous endoribonuclease, found in archaea, bacteria and eukarya as well as chloroplasts and mitochondria. Its best characterised activity is the generation of mature 5'-ends of tRNAs by cleaving the 5'-leader elements of precursor-tRNAs. Lineage: Bacteria; Pseudomonadati; Pseudomonadota; Betaproteobacteria; Rhodocyclales; Rhodocyclaceae. The record is from RNAcentral.
GAAGUUCGCCAGGCAGUCGCUGCGCACCUAGUGUGCGUGGAGGAAAGUCCGGGCCCCGCAGAGCAGGAUGCCGGCUAACGGCCGGGCGCCGUGAGGCGACGGAAAGUGCAACAGAAAGCAAACCGCCGAUGGCCUGUUCUCAGGCACAGGUAAGGGUGAAAUGGUGCGGAGCUGCGUGUGAGCGCGGUUCCGGGCGGGGCGCAAGUCUCGCCGGGUAAGAGCCCACCGCAGGACUGGCAACAGGACUGGCACGGCAAACCCCAUCCGGGGCAAGGCCAAAUAGGGGAGCGAUGGCGUGGCUCGCGCUGCUCCCGGGUAGGCUGCUAGAGCGCCGUGGCAACACGGCCCCCAGAGGAAUGACUGCCCGGCGGUCGCGACGCGAGUUGCGGCCGUUCGACAAAACCCGGCUUAUCGGCGAACUUCCCAU